GUAGGGAAUCUUCCACAAUGGGCGAAAGCCUGAUGGAGCAACGCCGCGUGAGUGAAGAAGGUUUUCGGAUCGUAAAGCUCUGUUGUUGGUGAAGAAGGAUAGAGGUAGUAACUGGCCCCUAUUUGACGGUAAUCAACCAGAAAGUCACGGCUAACUACGUGCCAGCAGCCGCGGUAAUACGUAGGUGGCAAGCGUUGUCCGGAUUUAUUGGGCGUAAAGCGAGCGCAGGCGGAAAGAUAAGUCUGAUGUGAAAGCCCCCGGCUUAACCGAGGAAUUGCAUCGGAAACUGUGUUUCUUGAGUGCAGAAGAGGAGAGUGGAACUCCAUGUGUAGCGGUGGAAUGCGUAGAUAUAUGGAAGAACACCAGUGGCGAAGGCGGCUCUCUGGUCUGUAACUGACGCUGAGGCUCGAAAGCAUGGGUAGCGAACAGGAUUAGAUACCCUGGUAGUCCAUGCCGUAAACGAUGAGUGCUAAGUGUUGGGAGGUUUCCGCCUCUCA
Molecule: ribosomal RNA, 497 nt
Filed under: uncultured bacterium
Lineage: Bacteria
Description: bacterial SSU rRNA
Rfam family: Bacterial small subunit ribosomal RNA
Source: RNAcentral